Molecule: ribosomal RNA, 503 nt
Filed under: uncultured bacterium
Lineage: Bacteria
Description: partial 16S ribosomal RNA
Rfam family: Bacterial small subunit ribosomal RNA
Source: RNAcentral
AUUGAACGCUGGCGGCAGGCUUAACACAUGCAAGUCGAGCGGGGUGAUGGUGCUUGCACUAUCACUUAGCGGCGGACGGGUGAGUAAUGCUUAGGAAUCUGCCUAUUAGUGGGGGACAACAUCUCGAAAGGGAUGCUAAUACCGCAUACGUCCUACGAGAGAAAGCAGGGGAUCACUUGUGACCUUGCGCUAAUAGAUGAGCCUAAGUCGGAUUAGAUAGUUGGUGGGGUAAAGGCCUACCAAGGCGACGAUCUGUAGCGGGUCUGAGAGGAUGAUCCGCCACACUGGGACUGAGACACGGCCCAGACUCCUACGGGAGGCAGCAGUGGGGAAUAUUGGACAAUGGGGGGAACCCUGAUCCAGCCAUGCCGCGUGUGUGAAGAAGGCCUUAUGGUUGUAAAGCACUUUAAGCGAGGAGGAGGCUCUUUUGGUUAAUACCCAAGAUGAGUGGACGUUACUCGCAGAAUAAGCACCGGCUAACUCUGUGCCAGCCGCCGCAGUAA